This is a long non-coding RNA of Equus caballus (horse), 9453 nucleotides long. NCBI's taxonomy places the organism in Eukaryota, Metazoa, Chordata, Mammalia, Perissodactyla, Equidae. The record is from Ensembl.
CGGCUCUGAGUUUCAAGACUGACUUGAAUCUCCAGUGAGGCAACAGUCUGGAAAUUCAGGCCUCAUUGUGCCAGAAAGAAGUGUCUGAAUGCCACACCUCCCCUUUCAGACAAAGCGUCCGGCUCUGGGGACACAAGGCGCAGUAUAGGAGGGACGCUGGCCACGUGCGGACUGGGUCAGUGAUGGCAGGCUCAGAGACAGGCAGAGCCCGGCCUGAGCAUGGUUCUUCUUCUGUUUCUUCCCCAGUUGAGAGAGACCCCCGGGCGGGGAUGGAAACUCGUGGACACAACUUUUGGUUAAAUGUGGUGGAGUAGCCCAGGCAUUUACCUAAACCCCACUAAGCCAAUAGAGAAGGGGCAAGAGGACGGAGAGCAACAGAGGAAACAGCAGCCAAGGAGAGUCACCAGCAACACUUUGGAGAUGGAAAGCGGGUGGAGUUUUCCAAGUGGAGGAAAGUGAGGCCUAAGUACCUGGGUGGGCCAGGCCGAGGGAGAUAAGCUAUGGGACCCCUGGCACCAAGGCCCCGGGCCCUGGAGGGAGCGAGGGCUCCGGUGGCGAGGGCUCCGGUGGCGAGGGCUCCGGUGGCGUGGGCUGUGGCCUGGCCAUGUUUGCACAGCAAGCAGCGAGACCUCUAGGGCCUUCCUCUGCCCUCCCCACCCCAGACUGAGGUGACUCUGGAGAGGCUGAGGGUGGGAGGAGAGGCUUGAGAGCCCAUGUGGGAAGGCGAGGUCUGGCCCUUUCUCUGCUCCUCUCCUGGGAUGUUCCGCCCUCCAGCAGGAGGCUGGACAAUCCCACCCGAGGAAGCUGUUGGCUAGGAGGCCAGAGACACGGACGCUGACCCCUGGGGCUCCCCUAGUGAGGCUGUGGGCUGCACCCGGCUGCUCCACGUGAGGCACAUCCACAGCCAGGCCCUGCCCUCCCGCCAGAGUCUCCAGCCAGUGUUUUAAUGUUUUCCCCUCAAAUAUUACAUACGGCCCGGGGUCUAAUCUGAGAGGCAGAGACGGAGCGAACAAAGCAGACAGAAGGACUGGGGGAACCUGAGACGCAGGGAAGGUGAAGGCAGCACGGACCACGCCCAUGGCGCCCACCUAGAACCGCUGUCCUCAGCCAGACGGGAGGCCUCGCGUCCUCAUCACAGGAUGCCUCAGGAGGCCAGUUCAGAAGGAAGAGAGAGACAGAGAUGUGGAAACAAAGCAUCUGAUGGAAAGGUCGAGAGGGAAAGCUCUCCCUUGUCACUGCUCCUGCCAGGGCCCCACGCACUGGGCUGUCUCCCAUCGUCUCUACUUGUAGUGUCUCUACCUGUCUCUACUUGUUAUCACUCUCUGUCUCUGUGCUACUGUUCCCAGUGUGCUGAACCAGUUGGGGACACACGGGUUGAGGUCGCAGCUCUGUCCUCUCUGGGUUUGCGGGAGGAACCUAGCUUCUGCACUGCCAGGAAAUGUGUUGGUUCCCCGGGGAAGUCCCCCGUGUUCUCAGACUGCCCUCCCUCUCUCGGGCCUCGGGAAGUCCCCGGGGCUCCAGAUCAGGCACCACUGCACACUGAGGCCCCAGUCACUCCUGGCAGCACCCACCUCCCUUCCUGGCCCAUUCCCCCAACACCUGCCACCACCCCCUGAGCUCAUCUGGAGGUCUGAGGAGGGGAGGACAAGGAAGGGGCGUGGCCGCUGUGGCCGCUUCAGGUGACGCGGUAGAAGUGGCAUUUGUCCCGCACUGUCUGGGUGUGUAAGGAGACACUCGCCCCCCAAGGCAGCCCCUCUAAGUGUGCACUAUAGAUGGGGAGAAACCUCAGACUCCUGGGCGAAGCUGGGCAAGCACGGGGUCCCCGUGGGCUGCCUCUCCCUGAGGCUUUGGGCUGCCCUCCACUCAAACCUCCAACGGGGCCUGACUUGGUGGCACAACUGGACUCCACAAAGGGGGUGGGGGUGUCAUCCCUGAUGUGCUGUGUGCAAAGCUCCCACCAUGACCCUCAGCUGGCUGACUUGGCAAACCACAUUUCUACAACAAGGUAAACAGUGUUAUCGGCUCUGACUCUGCUGAACAGACACCGAGACCUGCGCUUUUGCGGGUGACAAGCAGGCGGUUUCUCCGCUGGGCAGGUGGGCCGCCAGCCAGUCCCAGCCCCUCUCUUUCCUGGGCAGGGAGAGCAACCGGCAUUCUGGACACAGCCGGUGCUGAAGUCUAGGCAGGUGCUGGGGGGUGGGGUUGACGCCUUUUCCAGGGACAGGGAUGUGGGUCCUGCUGGCUGCCGAGUCCUCAUCUUGGACUGUUGCACGGUCACUUGCUGCUCAGAGUCCUCCCACCCCUCAGAUUAGCGCCCAAGAGACAGCCAGUGCCUGCCCUGCGGUUCCACCCCCUGGGCCGUGUCUGCCUUUCCACCACCACCCUCCUGCUGUGCCCGACUGCAGACCUCACUUCUCCGAACAUUGCAGUGAGCAGGUGUCAACACUGUUCUUUUUCUUGGUGAAAUGGAAGGUCACAGCUGCACUCAGGCUUCUGACGUGGCAGCCUGGCAGUGACUGCCCUCCCUAGAGACCUGGGUUCUGGCCCCAUGGAGAUGACUGCAGGCUUCAGCCAGAGUAAGUGUUUAAUGAGUGUUGGAAGAAUUGGCUGAUCUGUGUUUGGUUCUUUAAAAUACAUCAUCCGAGUCUCUUUCUUUCAUGUAUGUUUCAGCCGCUGCCUUUUGUUGUUGCUGAGCAUCCUUCCUCCUGAGCCCCUGGUCCUUGGGCGAUGUUCCCCUGAGGGCAGAGAGCCUCCUGGGCCGUCAGCCGGGGCUGACUAGGGGCUGAGGACGCAGAGCCUGGACUCUGAGUCACUUCUGCCUGGGUUACGGCCAGGCUUCUGUCUGAAAGUCUGGGAAAGCCCAUUCGUUCAUUCAGCAAACAUUUCUCAGGCUUGCUAGGGGGCACCAGAGGCACUGAAGGAGUGAUGUGGAGUCUAUAUUCUGGGCUCACACCCAGAUUUCUGGUCAGCUGGCAUCGUGGGAGGCUUGCAUCCCCACUCUGAUUCUCUGAUCAGCAGCUUAGAAGUGUCUCCAGACAGUUGUGGUGACCUCAGUCUCAGUAGAAAUUCUAAUUUCCACCUUGGGGGACACAGGCUGCCCCAGGGACCCCCAGCCCCUGGUGGCUGGGAGAGUUCCAGCUCUGCAGACCCCGAGGGCGCGACCACAGGAGGUCUGAUCUGUGCCUCUCUGAGCCAGGCCUCGUCUGUGUCAGCAAAUGGAGCGUGGCAAUUGGCCAAAUUAUUCAGAUAACGAGAGCAGAGACAUCCCUGUGUCCCAAGCAUAAGUAUUUCAGGGAAAAUGGGGCUUCUGCUGCUGGCAACAGAGAGAAAGCUCUAUGUCCAGAGGAGGUGGGGAGUGUUCAGUGCUUUGAGGGGCAGCUGGAGGCGGUGGCGGGGCAGAGCCUCUUUCCCAGAUUGGGCACCACUUGCCCGGACACCCAAUGCCCAGGGCUCCUCUGCGGGCUUUGGUUCCGGGCUCCUCUCUGUCUCAGCUCUCGGGGGAGGGUCAGGAAAUAAGAGAAAGGACAAGGUCAGUUUAGACAGGGCCCCGACCAAUCUCUUUGGGUCUGCAUCCCCAAAUGAACCUGUCAACUGAUGGAACCAGCAAUCAGGAUGAGCAGCGCGCCAGGAACCCGUCAGACGCUAAGUGGGAACACAUCUGUGGAUGAACACGGAAGCCGCUGCGGGCUUUCUCCUGUGAUGCCACAGCGGGUUUGGAUUUUGGGGACUCGCGACCGGCUGAGGCACUAUCCAAGGGCCACACUUCCCAACCCACUGUGGUGUCUCUGGAAAGGAAAUGAGUGCUCCCUUCCAGACGCACAGACCUGCCAGAGAAACCACGACAAACACGGAGGCGCCAAGAGCAGCGCUUGCAGAGGAAAAUCACAGAAACGGGCCCUGGCAGGUGCACAGACUCCUGUCUGGGUGACCGGUGGUCCCAGUCAUUUAAGUGGAAUGUUCGUCCUCCCUGUGGCAGUGAAUGGCUCCCACCUGUCCAGCCCAGGCCUGCGGGGUCCGUCAUGGAGCCUGAGGCCACAGCUGUCCCCACUGUGAUCUUCAAUGAUUACACAACGAGUAGUUGUCAACGCCAUGUUUAACUCACUAACCAACAACAGACCAUGUCCCCUGAACACCUGUGGACGUCCUGAUCUUCCCGGAAGUGUCCCCUGGGCCAGGCUGACCUGGCCGGGCCGCAGGGCUGGAUCCAUCUUGUGGCUCCAGAAGAAGAAGAAGAAAGAAAACUGGGGUAGCAGGAGUGUUUGAGGAGAAAAUCACUGAGAGUUCUCCAGAAUGAAUGAAAGAUGCUUGUUCACAGACUCAAGAGAUCCAGUAAAUUCCAAGCAGAAGGACUGAAAAUGCAACACAGUGAGUGGCCCCGUGGCUCAGAAGGUGGGGUCCAGGCCCACCCACCUGGGGCCGGCGCCGCGUGUCCAGUGGCUGUGCAGGGAUGCGGCCCACAGCUCAGAGGCUGACCCACGGAGGGUUGUUGCCUUUAGAGGGCGGCAGAGCUAUGGCCUGCAUGUGGGAGAGCUGGGGGGCAGGGACCACGUCUUGUGGGGUUCUUGAGCUUAAAGGUUGUGGAGAGGAGCUGCAGGCGGAGGCGACCGAGGAGAGAUGGCGCUGUGGGACCCCGAGCCACUCCAGCUGUGGCAGCAGCAGCAGCAGCAUCCCAUUCUGCCCCGCGGCAGGUAAGGAGGGCUGAAGCUGGCUGUUCAGUUCAGUGACCACAGGUCACCUUUGCGAGCGCCGCUUCUUAGAGACAUAAUAACUCUGAAUGACCCACUUUCUUUCGGAGAUUUAUUACAGCUUGUUGUUAUUUUAUUAUUACUGUCUGCAAUUUUCUCUUCUACUGCUCCUGGGAGCAGUAAGUUUAAAGUGCAGUCCUUCAGAAAAGGCUUGAAUUGGGCAUACAUCAUCAUCUCCGUAGAUGGCCUGCUCACAGUGAGCGUCGUCUCAAGGUUUAGAAGGGGACGCUGUGGCUGUUUCCACCCUGGCUGCCCCUUUUCGCACAGGUUGUUCCCUUGGGGGCUGCGGGGGUGGGUGUGUGCGUGUGUGUAUGUGCUCGUGUGCGGGUUGUGUGACCUUGGAGGUAACUUCAUUGCUCUAAGCCUGGGCGUCUUCAUCUGUUGGGGGCAGGGUGACGAGCUCUGCCUUGCUGGGCUCUGGUAGCUUAGCAUAUGGCUGGAUGGGAAGUGUCUGCAUUUUUCUGGGUGUUGGGCUGGAGUCUGGGAGACAGGCCAUGGCGUGUGUGCGUGACUGUCCUGGUGGCCUGGGAUGGUGGAAGGAUGACAAGGGUGGAGUCCUUUGCAUGUGCUGGAUCUGGAGAAACAGGAAGCAACGCUGUCAGAAGUAGGUGAGGUGUCACAGCCUGGCUCCUCUCUGCUGCCCUUGUGCCCUGAGUGUCACCUGCACUGAGACUUGGAAACUUGCCAGAAGCCACAGUCCAGGUCAGGACUGGCACUUGGUUCUUUCCCACCCUGGCUUCACGCGGUCUCCGAAGCACGAAGCAGAACCCUGAGAGCAGCACCUCGGUCAGCAGAGUGGUGACCAGAGCCCCCCGGCUGGUGCCUCAGUGGAUCUGACUGGUGACAGCUGUACACAACGUUAAAGAAGGGCUGACUGUUUCACCCUCCUCACCCCAAAAGCAUCUGGAGGAGAACCAGCUGUGCAUUCUCCCGUGACUCCAGGCUUGGCAGUACGCCCGGGCACCUGCCCUUGCCCCCAGGAACCCUGCCCUUAAAGAUGAGUGUUCGGCUGACCAGACGGCGACAAGUGCCCCUCCCUGGAGGUAGGUGGAGGGCUGACCGCUCCUGUGUGCUGAGGCAUUGCAAUUCCUGACUCCUCCCUUCAGUGAAUUGGGGUGGGGUACCAAUGCCAGGGGGUGGCAUAGCUUGUACAAUGCCCCUGGGAUUUGGGAGAUCCAAGGGAUAUGGGCACCCUACCCGAGCUGUGGAACUGGAUGGUGUUUGGAGGUGCCAUUAAUGCAACAAAGGGGAAAUGGUCAAACAAGACAGCAGUUACCAAGCUAAGGUGACAAGAGCAGACCAAGACCAGACACACUAGCCAGAGGCAGAAGGUCAGGGAAGCAUGAAUUUACAGUCACUUCCUCCACCAGGCGAGCUCCCGACAGGGAGGAGUGGGACUCUGAGGUGGGGCAUCUAGGUGAGGUCUUUAGGAAUGUUGGGCCCUAAUUCCCUGAGCCCUCUGGGACUGUGGCCACCCUGGAGGCCUGUACAAGGCAGAUGUCUGUCACUCUCUUUGGUGUCCAGCUCACCUCCUCCCCGGGCCACGAGGCUGCUUUCUCUGCCCUGAGCAGUGGCCUCCCAACUACCAACCUGUGAUGGUGCCCAGAUUCCCAGGUUCCCUCAGGGAAAUCAGUGGCAAUGACACUGCAUCACUUCCUCUGGGCUUGUGACACCUGCCCCUUGUUCUCAGGUGUCCCCCCAGCUCUGUCUCCCAGGCCGCCUCUGCUUUUUUGGGGGUUUCCUCACCCAACCCACACAGCCUCAGGAUUCAGCACAUGUUUCGGGGUAGCCCACCCUGCACUUGGCACCCCCACUCUGCCGUGCUGCAUUCCAGCACAGCAGGGCCCCAAAAGCACAGAGAAUGGCUGAGUCUCUGAAUAAGAUACAAACCGAAUACAUGGAACAGACAUUCUCAUCAACCACUGAUUACAUGUAAAGCUUCCCAGUGACUUUCGAGUCUUUGGGCCCUUUAGAUGGAAUGGGGAUGCAAGCUCUGGGUCCCUGGAAUGCCUUGGUGAUCCCACGUGGACGGCAGUCUGAUCGCAUAUUUGAUUUCCGUUCUCCCCUGAAAAUCCCCGGUCACCAGCACUUUCCUUGUGGGUGUGCAGUUCUCAACCUAGCACUGCUGGUGCUCAUUGACUGGCUUGUGAACAGCGCCUUCACUGGACACCCCAGAUCAACAUGCAGGUCCGAUGCCUGGGGGCCCACAUGGAAACGAGACUUGACAGUUCACACCGUGGAACUGUGUGGUGAGAAUUUUACCUCUUUCUUUUCUCUUUAGUCAUAUCGUUGAGUUACUUCUGUAAGCAUCAUCUACUCUUUAUUUUCUUGGUUCCCUCAUCAGCAUGGAGAGGAAGAAAAGGUGCCCAGGAUUCAGUGGGUUGACAUUUGCUGCUCGCGUAUUCUGAGAAUCUCCCCUGAGAAUAAAUCUAUUGCUUAUUAAAAAAAUAAAUUAUAAAGACUUCCUGGUAAAGAUGGUGUCAUGGACCCAGAUCUUAGAAUCUCCCUUCCCCAAUUCCUGAUGAGACUAAUAAAUAGUAGAAAAAAUUAGCAAAACAUUUUCCACUCUCAAAGACAGAGUUAUAAAUUCACACCACAGCAUUUGAGAACGGCAGCCAAGGAAAGCGGUAGAAGAUUCUCGUGCAGCAUCUAACUCCUUCACAGCUCCCCGGAGACUAUACUGGAAAACAAGAGUCAACAAAGUCCUAAUAGUUCUCACUUGAAUUCCCUAAUGUUGGGAGAGGUGGACAGACGGUGGGUGUACAGCCUGGAGAGAAGUUUCAAGAAAUCCUCAAAUUGGAGGCUCUUGCCAACCACGGUGCAAUCUCAAGGUCUAAGCAGAGGCAAGAAAAUUACCAAGUUUGACAUUUUCUAGGACUCCACGCUGAGUUAAGGAAAUGCCCAAACCAGUAUCCUGCCAAGCGGGCUGACACUCCCCUGAGUAACUGUGUGACAUUUAGCGCAAUCUCAGAAAAGACAGCAGAACCCGGGAAAUCCAAUACAGCCUCACAGAGCAAGAAGAAAGGGAAAUUUUAGAGACCUAAUAUCAAGUGAGUGCAAAAAUCAGCCCCUUUAUAGAACUAGAAAAUGAACUAGAAACAGAAUAUACACAGCUAAAAUUUAAUCAACUCUUCUGGAGGAAAGUCUUGAAAUAAUCGUUGUGAACACAUAGGAGCUGUACAGAGAUAUGAAAGCAAUUAGAAAAAACAUAAAAGAUUUGAUGGGUUGACUUAGAUGAUCCAAUAUGAAUAAAAUUUAUUAAUGUUAAUUAGAAAACCAAUCAAUGAACAGAGUUUUCAAAAAUGUAAUAAAAAAAUUCCUGAAGUUAAAGGAACCUGAAGUUAAAGAUUGAAGAUGCAUAACUAUGAAGUAGUCUAGAAAAAAUUCAUUAUUAAAUGGACACAUUAUUAAGCGGGCAUGUUUUGACUGAAUUAUUGAACUUUAAGUGAAAAGAAAAAUUAUUUAGGUUUUGAGGAAGAAAAUGAAAUUCAUAUACAAGGAGAAAAAAACCAGGCUGACUACAUACUUCUUAGCAAUAUUCAAUGUGAAACGACAAUUGAGCAAUUAUCUGGCGCGAUUAAAUUGUUACCCUAAAAUGUAAAGCCAGUAAAAUUGUUAUUAAGUCUAAAGGCAAUAGGAGGCAUUCUUUAAAAUCUCAAGAAAUAUAGAGCCAGUGAAUAUUUUAUUGAAAAAAAUAGUCCAGUGAAGCAAGUCAGUUGAUCCAAAGAUGAGUGAAGAGGCUAUGCUCAGGGUCGGAGGUCACUGGUCAGUGGAGCGAUGUCCAGAAAGUUCUGAGGGAAGGCGAGUGUGACCCAGGAAUUUUACACCCAGCCAACCUUUCUUUCAAAUACUAAAGCCGUAGACAGACAUUCUCAAGUGAGCAAACUGCAGAGAAGAAACCACCCAAGAAUCUUUCCUGAAAAAAUGUGACAGUGAAAUCCAGCCAAGCAGAAGAUGAAUAAAAACAGAGUGUAGAAAUGGACAAAAGAACUGGAGGAGUAUACUGAAUCCACGGAAAUAUAGUUCUAUAUGCAGGGAUUUCGAUGAUUGAGUUGAGGGUGAAUGCUAUAAAGCAGGAGAAAACAUAAAAUUAUCAAAAAUUUACAAAGAAGUGGGAGGUGGAGAUCACAGGUGGCGUAAGUGCAAUAUUCUCAUGGCUCCGAACUCCUAAUGUUUUGUGUGUUGUAAAAAAUGUUUUCGGAAUCCAAAUGAUCUUUUCUGGUGAAUAAACACUACUCGAGGUUCAGCAUUUAAUUGUUUCAUCCCAGUUUCUUUUUUAAUUUAUUUCAAGUAAAUUAAAUUUUAAAAAUUAAAUUAAAGUAAGUAUGUGUAGGAUGAAAAAAACUCAAUUUCUUUAUCUAUAAUCUGUCUAUAUCUAUCUUUAUCUAUCCAUCCAUCUAUUCAUCUACCAAUCUAUCUAUAUCUAUUAUGUAUCUACCUAUGUAUCCAUCCAUCAUCUACGUAUCAUCUAUCUACCUUCUAGCUGAGUGCAUGCAGUAUUUCCGUUUUGUAACACUGUAUCUGUCUAGCCUUCCUCUGUGCCUAUGUGUGCAUGCAGUGACAGAGAUUGAAAUCAUGGUAACUAUCAUUGUGUAUUAGUCUGAUGGGUCUGCCAUAUCAACCUACCGCAAACUGCGUGAAUUUAACAAUAGAAUUUUUUUUCUCACAGUUUGGAGGCUGGAAAGUCCAAGGUCAAGGUUCUGGCUGA